RNAcentral lists this unclassified non-coding RNA (530 nucleotides) under Bombus terrestris (buff-tailed bumblebee). RNAcentral's name for it is "misc RNA ENSBTSG00005029463.1". The record is from RNAcentral. Lineage: Eukaryota; Metazoa; Arthropoda; Insecta; Hymenoptera; Apidae.
AGGUGUAUUAUUGACGUUUGUACUCAAAACCCGUGAACGAAGACAAUGAUGCGUCGAUAAUAGUAUUUACCCCGCGACGACAGCAAAUCGAUAGAAUUGAUGCUAUCGAUUCGACCGAUGAAAAGAAUCGAUUGCUAAUGAUUGGUCGCUUUUAUAAUGCUCGUGUUUAUUCAAGCUGGAAGCUGUUAGGCAUAUAUCACACUUUACUAUUAGGGUAAUUCGCAUAUCCUCUAUCUUAUUAUUUAUGCGUCUUUAAUGUGAUGCGAAAUUGUUUUCAAUAAGGAUUACGUGAAUUGCAAAUUUACUGAACAACCGCCCGAGUGACGCAGUAUAAUUGGUGAUGAAACCACAAUAAAGAUCUUUUAUGAAAAAGUUUCAUAAGUAACAUUCAGUCUUCAUAGAUAUUUUAACUAAAAAGUUAAUCAUAAAAAUUAAUCGAAUAUAUUAUGUUGCAGUAUGUUUUACAUUAAUCUCGUGAAAUUAUUUUCAAAAUUAAAGAUUUCCUUUUUAUAUUUUUGUAAAGAAUAUGA